AACAGUUACCGAGGAGACACUUUGUGUUGGCUUAGCCAGGGUUGGAGCCGACGACCAGAAAAUUGCAGCAGGCACUUUAAGGCAAAUGUGCACUGUGGACUUGGGAGAACCAUUGCAUUCCUUGAUCAUCACAGGAGGCAGCAUACAUCCAAUGGAGAUGGAGAUGCUAAGUCUGUUUUCCAUACCAGAAAAUAGCUCAGAAUCUCAAAGCAUCAAUGGACUUUGAACAUAGAUAUUUACCAUUGUCUGAUGUAAAUUUCAGCCAUAUAUGGAUUGAUAUGGUUUGGAUGUAUCCCCACCCAAGUCUCAUCUUGAAUUUUAAUCCUCAUAAUUCCCAGGUGUUGUGGUAGGUAAUUGAAUCAUGGGGGCAGUUUCCCUCAUGCUAUUCUCAUGAUAGUGAGCUUUCAUGAGAUCUGAUGGUUUUAUAAGUGCCUGGCAUUUCCCCUACUGGCUCUCAUUCUCACUCUUGCCGCCCUGUGAAGAGGUGCCUUCCACCGUGAUUGUUAAGUUUCCUGAGGCCUUCCCAGCCAUGUGGAACUGUGAGUCGAAAAUUAAACCUCUUUUAUAAUUACCCAGUCUCGGGUAUUUCUUCAUAGCAGUGUGAGAAUGGAUUAAUACCUGGAUGCAUGCAUGUUUGUGUAACAAACAGGUCUUUUGGCUUAUCUAGUAAGUAUAAAACAAGUGACCAAAAAGAAGUUGACUCAACAAUGCUUGGUUUCUUGUGGCAGUGAGUUUUUUCCCUAUGAUAUCAUCAGUUGUUGCUGCUAUUUUGGCAAAUUUUCAGGAUGUACACAUAAAGCAGACCAGGCUGGAAAGCUUGUGGAUAGACAUCCACUGACAGAAUCAUUUAAGAGCAGUUUUUAUUUAUGAAACCAAUUUAUACAAGGUGGUUGUUAACAGAAUAUAACUUAGAGGUAACUGGAAUUUGAAUCACUUGAAUCUGUUUUAAAGGGUAAAAAAUGUUAUGAGUGCCAAGAAAAGCAAAUAAAAGAUUAGUAAAUGUUCAC
This 1007-nucleotide long non-coding RNA is filed under the name Homo sapiens (human). RNAcentral describes it as "long non-coding RNA NONHSAT152013.1". The record is from RNAcentral. Lineage: Eukaryota; Metazoa; Chordata; Mammalia; Primates; Hominidae.